UUUUAUUAUGCUCUGUUGUAUAAUACUAUGUAAUAUCUUUUAUGGUCAUUCUGUCAUACCAAAAGUACUUUCUCAGUUUGUUUACCAAACACAUGUUAAAGUGCCAGCACUUUAGAAAUGUAGUUACCAAACAGUAAACAACUUUUUAUAAAAAUUCUACUUCAGAAAACUCUACUUUCAAAAGCUCUACUUCUAAAAGCUCUACUGCCAACAGCUCCUCCAGAAUAGGACCUUUGUUGGUGCGCAGUAGGACUAAAAAUGGAUCGGUUAUAGAUCGGAAUGUAUGAUCCAUAUCCGUAUCCAUAUUUUUCAACGAAUAUGAAUCAGAUAUUUACCAUAUCCAUAUUUGUUCUAAAAGGAUAUGGAUAUAAGUCAGGUAGUUAUAUUGUAUAUAUUCUCUAUACUAAUAUAGAUAUAAGUUGGAUAUUUUUUUGGAUGUAAAUCAAAUUUUAAGUAGAUUUAAAUAAUGAAAAUCAAUAGAAACGACAGUCGUAAAAGAUAGGUAUGAAAUCUAAAAUAGCAGUUGUACAUGAUGCACAACUAAUUAGUUAAGAGCAAGAAUCACCGAACUGGUAUCGGUAGGUGUACUGGUCGGCCGCCGGACCAGUUUGGUACCAGUUCAGACUAGUACAAACU
This 636-nucleotide long non-coding RNA is filed under the name Phoenix dactylifera (date palm). RNAcentral describes it as "long non-coding RNA (PDAC_LNC015263)". The record is from RNAcentral. Lineage: Eukaryota; Viridiplantae; Streptophyta; Magnoliopsida; Arecales; Arecaceae.